This 451-nucleotide ribosomal RNA is filed under the name uncultured bacterium. RNAcentral describes it as "bacterial SSU rRNA". It matches the Rfam family "Bacterial small subunit ribosomal RNA", at positions 354 to 796 of the family's 1533-position model. The record is from RNAcentral.
GUGAGGAAUCUUGCGCAAUGGGCGAAAGCCUGACGCAGCGACGCCGCGUGGAGGAUGAAGGUCUUCGGAUCGUAAACUCCUGUCGAGCGGGACGAAUCCCGGGAGGGUGAACAAUCCUCUCGGUUGACGGUACCGCUGGAGGAAGCCCCGGCUAACUCCGUGCCAGCAGCCGCGGUAAUACGGAGGGGGCCAGCGUUGUUCGGAAUCAUUGGGCGUAAAGGGCGCGUAGGCGGCCGAGCAAGUCGGAUGUGAAAUACCCCGGCUCAACUGGGGAAUUGCAUCUGAAACUGCUUGGCUUGAGUCCUGGAGAGGGUAGUGGAAUUCCCAGUGUAGCGGUGAAAUGCGUAGAUACUGGGAGGAACACCGGUGGCGAAGGCGGCUACCUGGACAGGUACUGACGCUGAGGCGCGAAAGCUAGGGGAGCAAACAGGAUUAGAUACCCUGGUAGUCC